This is an unclassified non-coding RNA of Pongo abelii (Sumatran orangutan), 117 nucleotides long. It matches the Rfam family "Metazoan signal recognition particle RNA". Rfam says of the family: The signal recognition particle (SRP) is a universally conserved ribonucleoprotein. The record is from Ensembl. Lineage: Eukaryota; Metazoa; Chordata; Mammalia; Primates; Hominidae.
GCCAGGCAUGUUGGCUCAUGCCUGUAAUCCUAGCACUUUGGGAGGCUGAGAUGGGAGGAUUGCUUGAGCCCAGGAGUUUGAGACAAGCCUGGGCAACAUAGCGAGACUCCAUCUCUA